RNA transcript from Neomonachus schauinslandi (Hawaiian monk seal), 941 nucleotides. It is a transcript of the gene named olfactory receptor 6C75-like, with no coding region annotated. The transcript has a single exon. NCBI's taxonomy places the organism in Eukaryota, Metazoa, Chordata, Mammalia, Carnivora, Phocidae. The record is from RefSeq and is a predicted model, not a curated record.
UCCAUGGAAAUGGGGAAUGUUACAACUGUCUGAGAAUUCAUCUUGGAGGGGUUUCCUGCCAUCCAACACCUGGGAAAGAUCCUCUUCCUGUUGCACCUGCUGGCUUACCUGGCAUCCAUUGCAGGCAAUGCUGUCAUAAUGACCAUCACCUGUGCUGACCCUGACUCCACACACCUAUGUACUUUUUCCUCAGCAUUUUCUCCUUCUUGGAGUGUGGUGUCAUAAGUGCUGUUAUUCCUAAGUUGCUGGUCAUCUUUCUCUUAGGCAAGCAAACCAUUUCCUUUCUUGCCUGUUUGAUACAAGCAUUUGUCUUUUUAUUUCUGGGAUCGGCAGUUUUCUUCCUCACAGCAGUGAUGUCUCUGGAUCGGUACGUGGCCAUUUGCAAGCCUCUGCAUUACCUGACCAUCAUGAACCUGAAGACUUGCUUCCUCCUGGUCACUGCCUGCUUCGCUUUGGCCUUCCCUCUCAUCACUGGUCUGGUAGUAAAGGUUUCCCAGUUAUCCUUCUGUGGCCCCCAUGUCAUCCCCCACUUCUUCUGUGACCUUGGCCCCCUGAUUCAUCUCUCCUGUUCUGACUUCAGGUCUGUUGAUAUGUUGGCCUUUGUCCUCACUUCCUUUAUCCUUUUGACAUCCCUUAUCAUAACCAUCAUUGCCUACAGCAACAUAAUAGUCAUGAUCAUGCGACUCCCAUCAGCAAAGGAGAAACAGAAAGCUUUCUCCACCUGCUCUUCUCACCUCAUAGUCCUCUCUCUGAUGUAUGGCAGCUGUGUGUUUAUAUAUGUGAAACCAAAGCAAAGGAACAGGCUGGUCUCCAACAGGGAGGCUGCCCUUGUGAACACGGUGGUGACCCCACUGCUCAACCCCAUCAUCUAUACACUACAGAACAAGCAGGUCCACCAGGCUCUGAGGGAGACAAUGUGCAGAAUGAAAAUAUCAAGAUAA